GGCACAGCAGAGGAGCAACACGGUGCAAAUUGCCUGAUGAUGAGGUGGCUAAUCCCACUGCUAGUUUAAUUGAUACUUAAAGGCCUGCUAUCCGCUCUGAAGUGCUGAGAGGAUACAAACCGCCUCGGCCAAGGUGUGGUAACAGGGCAGAGCUGUGCAGUGUUACCUGUGGAAGUUUGCAUGCACAAAUGAGCAGAAUGGUUUCGGAUGGUGAUGUAGUCGCUCUGGAAGCACUGCAGGCGAUUCAAGGUGGACAAAAUGCAUCACACUUUUGGCUGCAAAAUAAUCAUCACAACAUCCUCACAUUGCGUUCGGAAGUUGCAUCCAAUUUGACGAGUGUGUGUAUGAAGCAUGCGGCGAAAGUCCAGAACGCGAGGGAUAACGUGACACGGUGCUAGAGCGAGGUCUCCGAGACUCAUCAUCAAAGACUUGAGCGGUGCUUUCUAAUCGGUCGCGGGGAGAGUCGGUUGUGCCAGGGAGACAGGUGAGAUGAACUGAUAAGAAGAGCCUAUUUCAGGCUGCUGAGGGGGAGGACGAUGUGACUCCUAUCAGAUGACCGCUGGGAUGCUGACAUACGUGUUACUCUAGAAUAAGGCACAGCUGAGAGGUGAUUAGGUAAAACUUUGAAAACUAACUGUAGGCUCUGAUUUGUGAGGAAAAUAAAUACACGCCACUAACCGUUGCGUUUUGGAAAAGCGUUCAACAAUUGCAAAAUCAUUUUCCCUAAUUACACUGCAUGCAUUAUUUUUUCCUCGAAUAAAGACGUUUUCUUUACUAGCCAGCACACAUUUCUGGUAUAAAAACUGGAUAUUUGUGGAAACGGACGUGUCAGUCAUUCAAAUCUCAUUAAAUGUAUGUCUCCAUGAAAGGUUCUUUAAAACUCGCUUGGCUCAGAUCCACAAACCUCAGAAGUGUCCAUCAGCCAACAUAUAAACACCUAAGAUCACGUCUCUCUCUCUCGCUAUAUAUUUAUGCGCGUGUGAAAAAAAAUUAUUGCCAUUUAAAGGUUAUAUUAUCCAGAUUCUAUUUGCAUGCAUUUUAGCAUUAAUUACAGCGUCUGCAAUUAAAUGAACAUCUAAAUAAUUGUAAUUGAUCGUACCUUGUAUUGACAGCAUCUUACAAGAUGCAAAAUAGAGCUGUUAUUGCUUUGCUCCCAAGU
Cyprinus carpio carpio is the source of this 1159-nucleotide long non-coding RNA. NCBI's taxonomy places the organism in Eukaryota, Metazoa, Chordata, Actinopteri, Cypriniformes, Cyprinidae. The record is from Ensembl.